AUGUACCCCGUAAGGAUGGAGGCAAGAUUAGGCAAACCUCUCCGACAAGGCCCCGGAACCACCACCGUCCCAGUUAAAGAGCACCGACAAUUUGGAGUGGACCCCACCGCCAUAGAGCCUCCUUUUGCACAGGAGGUAGUAGAACUCCGCCGAGGGCAACAAUUGUGGCCUCUUCCAGAGCCGGAGCGGCCCAUGGAGUCGAUGUCAUGGUCGCCCCAGAGCCGAAUCCAUCGCCGAGGCCAUAGAGUAGGAGCUGCUGUCGCCGAGGUCAUGUCUGAACCUAAACCUGAACUUUCUAUGGCUGGUAAGAUGUCUUCCCUAAAUCUUCCAGCAGCCGGUGAUCGUUGGCCUCUCGUCUCUAUUCAGCUGCUGAUUGUAUGA
This 381-nucleotide ribosomal RNA is filed under the name Triticum aestivum (bread wheat). RNAcentral's name for it is "partial small subunit ribosomal RNA". Lineage: Eukaryota; Viridiplantae; Streptophyta; Magnoliopsida; Poales; Poaceae. The record is from RNAcentral.